Molecule: ribosomal RNA, 279 nt
Filed under: uncultured bacterium
Lineage: Bacteria
Description: partial 16S ribosomal RNA
Rfam family: Bacterial small subunit ribosomal RNA
Source: RNAcentral
UGCCAUCCGCCGCGGUAAUACGGAGGGUGCAAGCGUUGCUCGGAAUCACUGGGCGUAAAGCGAACGCAGGCGGACCAAUUAGUCGGGUGUGAAAGCCCGGGGCUCAACCCCGGAACUGCAUUCGAAACUGUUGGACUCGAGUAUGGGAGAGGGAAGCGGAAUUCCUGGUGUAGAGGUGAAAUUCGUAGAUAUCAGGAGGAACACCCGUGGCGAAAGCGGCUUCCUGGCCCAAUACUGACGCUCAUUUUCGAAAGCGUGGGGAGCAAACAGGAUUAGAUA